This 362-nucleotide ribosomal RNA is filed under the name uncultured bacterium. Its description in RNAcentral is "bacterial SSU rRNA". It matches the Rfam family "Bacterial small subunit ribosomal RNA", at positions 331 to 707 of the family's 1533-position model. The record is from RNAcentral.
CCAGACUCCUACGGGAGGCAGCAGUGGGGAAUAUUGCACAAUGGGGGAAACCCUGAUGCAGCAGCGCCGCGUGAGUGAAGAAGUAUUUCGGUAUGUAAAGCUCUAUCAGCAGGGAAGAAAGAAAUGACGGUACCUGACUAAGAAGCCCCGGCUAACUACGUGCCAGCAGCCGCGGUAAUACGUAGGGGGCAAGCGUUAUCCGGAUUUACUGGGUGUAAAGGGAGCGUAGACGGCGAUGCAAGUCUGAAGUGAAAGGCGGGGGCACAACCCCCGGACUGCUUUGGAAACUGUAUAGCUGGAGUGCAGGAGAGGUAAGUGGAAUUCCUAGUGUAGCGGUGAAAUGCGUACAUAUUAGGAGGAAC